This is a long non-coding RNA of Solanum stenotomum, 742 nucleotides long. RefSeq lists it as uncharacterized. The transcript is spliced from 3 exons. The record is from RefSeq and is a predicted model, not a curated record. Lineage: Eukaryota; Viridiplantae; Streptophyta; Magnoliopsida; Solanales; Solanaceae.
AAGAUCCUAAAAGGGAAUUCAAAGAAGGGGUCAAAAGAUGCUAAACCUAUAAUCCGGACCGGUACCUGCAAAAGAUUUUUCAAUACCUUUCAUCCACCACAAAUUGGCAAAGAUGAUGAUGACAAUAAUGAAGAUGUUGUAGAUUCAACAGCUUUUAUGCUAUGUUGCCGUACCCGUAUCAGAUACUCAAAAAAUGCACUACUUUUGGAGGAUUUGACACAGACCUGUCUAUAUUUCUGAAGAGUUGGAGCAACAAAGCUAUGAUUUUGUUCAAUUACGCUAAGAGUGCCAUAGCAUAAUUUGAAGAAGGUCAGCAUGGAGAAUGUCCUCCAAAGUGCAAACAGCAGUUUGUAUUUUGUCCGAUAGCUGGUUGAAGAAAUGGAAUGAAAAUGGUGGAUCUUGAAACAACAUUUGGUUUCCAAUCUUUGAGCUUCUGCAACUCAGUUUUGUGGCCUUCAGCUAAUGUAGUUACAUCAGCUCUUACAAUGCCGGCAUCAGUUAGUUUUCUUGGACUUGGACUCGGACUCGUUCUCAGCACAGGCUCCACACAGCUAAUCGUUUAUUUAUUAUACAGCUCAGUGAACAUUCUUUCUUUCUUGUUAAAAUUAUUAGAUGUGACAGAUCAUGAAAUUUUCUUGAUGAUCUUUAGUGCUUUCCCAUCAAUAAAGAGAAUUUCAAAGGUCUUGCAAUCUUUUUUAUACUUUGGACAAUCCCUAUAAAGCAGUAAUUUAAUUUGUUUACU